RNAcentral lists this unclassified non-coding RNA (227 nucleotides) under Hevea brasiliensis (rubber tree). The record is from RNAcentral. Lineage: Eukaryota; Viridiplantae; Streptophyta; Magnoliopsida; Malpighiales; Euphorbiaceae.
CCCGGGAUAUAAGAUUUCCUAACUAUUUUUCAGAAGAAGCUAGAGACAUUGUUGAUCGGUUAUUGGAUGUGGAUCCCAGCAGAAGACCAGGUGCUGGACCUGAUGGUUAUACCGCACUCAAAAUGCAUCCUUUUUUUAAGGGAGUUAACUGGAAGAAUAUUAGGGGGGAAACUCCUCCAAAACUUGCUUUAGAGCCCAUGGCACAGUCUGGUGAGGGUGAGCAUGAU